GCCCCCCAGGUACCCCGUGGUCCUGCAGCGCUUCGAGCUGCGCCGCGGCUCGGGGGGCGCCGGGCGCUUCCGGGGGGGCGACGGCGUGUGCCGGGAGCUGCUCUUCCGCCAGGACAUGGUGCUGUCGGUGCUGAGCGAGCGCCGCGCCAUCCAGCCCUACGGCCUGCAAGGCGGCAGCCCCGGCGCCCUGGGGCUCAACCUGCUGCUGCGCCGCGACGGGCGAGCCAUCAACCUGGGCGCCAAGACAUCGGUGCCGGUGCAGGCGGGGGACGUCUUCUGCCUGCAGACCCCCGGUGGGGGCGGCUUCGGGCCCCCUGGGGAUGCCGGGGAUGCCGAGGAUGGUGCGGAGCCGCCGGCGCCCCGGAGCUUUGCGGAGCGCGGGAGCCUCUUCGAGUACCGGCGGGCGCAGGAGGCCGUGUGAGGGCCCUGGGCCCCGAGCCGGGGGCCGUGGGGCAGCCCCGGCCCCAGCUACGCGUGCCCGGUGGGGCAGCCCCCACCCUAGGUAGGCAGACCCCGUGGGGCAGCCCCAAGGCCCGGUACGCUCACACCGUGGGGCUGCCCCAGCCCCUGGUACACCCCCGCCGAGGAGCAGCCCCAGCCCCACACACGCACACCCCGGGGGGCAGCCCCCCGGGACCAGGUACGCACAGCCCGAGGGCAGCCCCCCGUCCCCACGUACGCACACCCCGGGGGGCAGCCCCCC
Molecule: long non-coding RNA, 703 nt
Filed under: Anser brachyrhynchus (Pink-footed goose)
Lineage: Eukaryota; Metazoa; Chordata; Aves; Anseriformes; Anatidae
Description: lncRNA (ENSABRG00000022613.1)
Source: RNAcentral